GCAGUGGUAGCUCAGUGGUUAGGACGUUGGUCUACUGAUCGGAAGGUCAUGAGUUCAGGCCCCAGCACCAUCA
Non-coding RNA from Pangasius djambal, 73 nucleotides. The record is from the annotation of a GenBank genome assembly. NCBI's taxonomy places the organism in Eukaryota, Metazoa, Chordata, Actinopteri, Siluriformes, Pangasiidae.